GGACGAACGCUGGCGGCGUGCCUAAUACAUGCAAGUUGAACGCAACAAAGACACCAGAGCUUGCUCUACCGUCUUUGUUGAGUAGCGAACGGGUGAGUAACGCGUGGGUAACCUGCCUUAUAGCGGGGGAUAACUAUUGGAAACGAUAGCUAAUACCGCAUAACAAUAGAGAUUGCAUAAUCUUAUUUGAAAGUGCCAACUGGUACACUAUGAGAUGGACCCGCGUUGUAUUAGCUAGUUGGUAGUGUAAUGGACUACCAAGGCGAUGAUACAUAGCCGACCUGAGAGGGUGAUCGGCCACAUUGGGACUGAGACACGGCCCAAACUCCUACGGGAGGCAGCAGUAGGGAAUCUUCGGCAAUGGACGAAAGUCUGACCGAGCAACGCCGCGUGAGUGAAGAAGGUUUUCGGAUCGUAAAACUCUGUUGUUAGAGAAGAAUGUUGAUUAGAGUGGAAAAUUAAUCAAGUGACGGUAUCUAACCAGAAAGGGACGGCUAACUACGUG
RNAcentral lists this ribosomal RNA (505 nucleotides) under uncultured bacterium. Its description in RNAcentral is "bacterial SSU rRNA". It matches the Rfam family "Bacterial small subunit ribosomal RNA", at positions 27 to 507 of the family's 1533-position model. The record is from RNAcentral.